GUUUGUGCUGAAGGCCUGUUGCCUAGAGUGCAGAUGGAGGACUCGGUGCCUUACCUGAGCCUAGGGGAACGUCCCUGGACCGCAGGCAGAGAGUGCCACAUGUGCACACACGCAGACCUCCCUACGUCUCACUGUCAAUCAGCCAAGAAGCAAGCAGAAUUACAGAAGCCAGGGGCAUGGUCAUAGUGGUGCAGACAAAAGGGGGGUCUAUUUGCUUUUGACUUGCCUUCUCAGUGGUAAGGUGAAAUUUACAAGAAGGCCUAAUUUUAAAACAUG
Unclassified non-coding RNA from Myotis lucifugus (little brown bat), 276 nucleotides. It matches the Rfam family "RNase MRP". From Rfam's summary of the family: RNase MRP is an enzymatically active ribonucleoprotein with two distinct roles in eukaryotes. Lineage: Eukaryota; Metazoa; Chordata; Mammalia; Chiroptera; Vespertilionidae. The record is from Ensembl.